GAGCGGCCUAUUGCCUAUCAGCUUGUUGGUGAGGUAAUGGCUCACCAAGGCUUUGACGGGUAGCGGGGCUGAGAGGUCGGCCCGCCUCAUCGGGACUGAGACACUGCCCGGACCUCCACGGAGGGCUGCAGUAACGAAUAUUGGGCAAUGAGCGAAAGCUUGACCCAGCGACGCCGCGUGUGGGAGGAAGUCCUUCGGGACGUAAACCACUUUUAGGCUUAUGAAAGCCUGCCGCAAGGCAGGUUGAUCUAUGCCAGAAAAAGUCACGGCUAACUCUGUGCCAGCAGCCGCGGUAAGACAGAGGUGGCGAGCGUUGUUCGGUGUCGCUGGGCUUAAAGCGUGUGUAGGCGGCCAAGUAAGCGCGUUGUGAAAGCCCCCGGCUUAACCGGGGAAAUGCUUCGCGUACUGCUUGGCUUGAGGCAGGUAUGGGUGCGGGGAACUGUUGGUGGAGCGGUGGAAUGCGUAGAUAUCAACAGGAACGCCGGUGGUGAAGACGCUGCACUGGGCCUGAUCUGACGCUGAGACACGAAAGCGUGGGGAUAAAACGGGAUUAGAU
This 556-nucleotide ribosomal RNA is filed under the name uncultured bacterium. RNAcentral describes it as "bacterial SSU rRNA". It matches the Rfam family "Bacterial small subunit ribosomal RNA", at positions 224 to 783 of the family's 1533-position model. The record is from RNAcentral.